This 616-nucleotide long non-coding RNA is filed under the name Marmota monax (woodchuck). Lineage: Eukaryota; Metazoa; Chordata; Mammalia; Rodentia; Sciuridae. The record is from RNAcentral.
CUUCCAUAGGAUGGUCUCCGUGGAACCUCAGGCCGUGCCCUGCUGCCGUCGGUGCUGCUGGCUAGGGCUCUGCCACCCGGGGCUGCUCCAGAGCACUAGGACACCUCUGUCCCCUCAGCAGCUGCUCUCUGCUCCCAGCCCUGAGGGCUGAUGGGGCCUGGGGGGGUCAGAGCCUCUGCUCGGCAACCCCAGGUCAGGUCGGGGAGAAAGAGCAGGAGUGUCCCCCUCAUCAACGAGAGCUUCUUGAACUCACCUCCUUUCCCCAGAAGCAGGAAGCCACCCUGUCUGCGCCCAGCCGGCAGGAAACACCCACCCCCUCACGGGGCCUGCGCUGGCCUGAGUCACAGUGCAGGAGUCAAUAAGGACUCGGGGGCUUUGGGACACAGCGCUGGGCCAGCCCCUGAGCAGGGAGACUCCUGGAUGAGUCCCGCCUGGGACCCCUGGCCUUACGGGAAGGGGCCAAGCAGGUGGCUUGGAAAGAAGGUUCGGUGGGGAAGUCCUUGGUCCUCUCACUGACCCUGAGACGGCUCCACUCCCUGCCUGUGCCUCAGCCUGGAUCUACAUGACUCCAAAGAAGGGGACUGUCAGAUUCCGUCAGCCCUCAUUAUAUGGAUCA